CCUACGGGUGGCAGCAGUGAGGAAUAUUGGUCAAUGGACGAGAGUCUGAACCAGCCAAGUAGCGUGAAGGAUGACUGCCCUAUGGGUUGUAAACUUCUUUUAUCAAGGAAUAAAACGAGGCACGUGUGCCUUUUUGCAUGUACCUUAUGAAUAAGGAUCGGCCGACUCCGUGCCCGCAGACGCGGUAAUACGGAGGAUCCGAGCGUUAUCCGGAUUUAUUGGGUUUAAAGGGAGCGUAGAUGGGUUGUUAAGUCAGUUGUGAAAGUUUGCGGCUCAAACGUAAACUUGCAGUUGAUACUGGCAGUCUUGAGUGCAGUUGAGGUAGGCGGAAUGCGUGGUGUAGCGGUGAAAUGCUUAGAUAUCACGAAGAACCCCGAUUGCGAAGGCAGCUUACUAAACUGUGACUGACGUUGAUGCUCGAAAGUGUGGGUAUCAAACAGGAUUAGAUACCCGUGUAGUC
RNAcentral lists this ribosomal RNA (460 nucleotides) under uncultured bacterium. RNAcentral's name for it is "partial 16S ribosomal RNA". It matches the Rfam family "Bacterial small subunit ribosomal RNA", at positions 338 to 795 of the family's 1533-position model. The record is from RNAcentral.